UGGGGAAUAUUGGACAAUGGGCGCAAGCCUGAUCCAGCAAUGCCGCGUGUGUGAAGAAGGCCUGCGGGUUGUAAAGCACUUUCAGUGGGGAGGAAGGCCUUGAUGUUAAUAGCAUUGAGGAUUGACGUUACCCAAAUAAGAAGCACCGGCUAACUCUGUGCCAGCAGCCGCGGUAAUACAGAGGGUGCAAGCGUUAAUCGGAAUUACUGGGCGUAAAGGGUGCGUAGGUGGUUUUUUAAGUCAGAUGUGAAAACCCUGGGCUUAACCUAGGAAUUGCAUAUGAAACUGAGAAACUAGAGUGCGGUAGAGGGAAGUGGAAUUUCCGGUGUAGCGGUGAAAUGCGUAGAUAUCGGAAGGAACACCAGUGGCGAAGGCGACUUCCUGGACCGUUACUGACACUGAGGCACGAAAGCGUGGGGAGCAAACAGGAUUAGAUACCCCUGUAGUCC
Molecule: ribosomal RNA, 449 nt
Filed under: uncultured bacterium
Lineage: Bacteria
Description: bacterial SSU rRNA
Rfam family: Bacterial small subunit ribosomal RNA
Source: RNAcentral